AUUUGAUGUAUAUACUAUAGUAUAUAAUUCCGUAGAGAUCGUGCAUCAAUAGUUGAGCACAUGUAAAAAAUUGAAUCUGAAAAAAGCUACUAGGAAGCACUUACUCGUUGGAGAAUGAAGAAAUAGAAACAAAAGUUGGUUCAAAUAAUCUGAUUCUGAUUCUGAUUCUGCUUCUGCUUCUAUAAUUAGAAACACACACUCCCUAUGCCAUUUCUCAUUCUUCUCCAAAUCUAAAUAAUCCUCAACAAUGGGUUUGGCUCGUAACUCCUCUUCUCAACCGGAGAUCGACGACGCCACCGCCGCCAACGACGUCGGAUUCCACUCGAUCCGUGGCCGAUUCCCUUUCAAACGAAACCCUACCUAUCACCGACACAGGUCCUUCUCCGAUCGCCAAUUACCACGAACCAACACCACUAUUACCAAUACUAACACCAAUCGAUCUCAUCUUCACAAUCGCUUCACUCGCAAGGGUCUUCUUUGGUUAUUCCCUCUCUUCUUCUUCAAAGGCAAGUCUCGAUUCUACGCUUUGAUUUUUGCGGUUCUCUUUCUUUUUGCACUCGCUUCCUUGGUUAUGCAGAGCUCCAUUGCCUCCGUCUGGCAGCGGACUGAGAAUGGGAGGAAUCUCCGGGAAGGGUUGAAGUUCGGGAGCACGCUUAAGUUUGUGCCCGGAAGGGUUUUGAAGAGGUUUCUCUCCGGCGAUGGGCUUGAUCGUGUUCGGUCUCAGCCUAGGAUCGGUGUUCGUGCUCCCAGGAUAGCUCUUAUUUUAGGUCACAUGAAGAUAGAUCCUCAGUCAUUAAUGUUGGUUACCGUGGUUCAGAAUCUACAGAAAUUGGGAUAUGUUUUUAAGAUAUUUGCAGUAGGGAAUGGGAGGGCCCACUCAAUAUGGGAAAAUUUAGCUGGUGAUCUGUCUCUUUUGAGCACAGAACAACAAGGCCAGACUGAUUGGUCAAUUUACGAAGGCAUCAUUGUUGACUCCCUGGAAGCUAAAGAUGCCAUUUCAAGCCUUAUGCAGAACCCUUUUUGUUCAGUACCAUUGAUAUGGAUUAUUCAAGAAGAUAGCCUUUCAAGUCGUCUACCAUUUUAUAAUAAUAUGGGUUGGGAACAUCUUAUUUCCCAUUGGAGAAGUGCUUUUAGCAGAGCCAGUGUUGUUGUCUUUCCAGAUUUCACUUAUCCGGUAAAGUUAAUGUUAUAAUAUCACACAGACAGGAAUAUGGUCAGUUUUAGAAGUUAUUCUCGAUUAGAGUCGGCCUUAAUUGUUUUGAAGGCAGGAUCUGAGUUAAUAUUUCUUCCUGAAUCAGAUGUUAUACAGUGAGCUCGACACUGGAAACUUCUUUGUGAUUCCUGGAUCGCCAGUAGAUGUGUGGGCUGCAGAAAGCUAUAGUACGGCCCACACAAAGGAUCAGCUCAGAGAACUUAGCGGAUUUGGUAAAAAUGAUAUGGUGGUUGUAGUUGUUGGGAGCUCUAUCUUCUAUGAUGACUUAUCUUGGGACUAUGCGGUGGCAAUGCAUUCCAUAGAGCCUCUGCUGACAAAAUAUGCAAGGAAAAAUGAUGCAGCUGAGUCAUUUAAAUUUGUUUUCUUAUGUGGCAAUGCCACUGAUGGUUAUGAUGAUGCUUUACAGGUAGUCCUUCUUUAAGGUGAGUUGUGCAUGACUAAUUUUUUUAGAGGGUGUGCUUGGCGCAACAGUAAGGUUGUUGCUUAGUGACUGAUAGAGAAGUUGUAGCCGAGAAACAAGAGAUGGGCCUCAACUUUG
RNAcentral lists this long non-coding RNA (1751 nucleotides) under Lupinus mutabilis. Its description in RNAcentral is "partial ncRNA". The record is from RNAcentral. Lineage: Eukaryota; Viridiplantae; Streptophyta; Magnoliopsida; Fabales; Fabaceae.